This is a non-coding RNA of Sulfurovum sp. AS07-7, 74 nucleotides long. The record is from Rfam. Lineage: Bacteria; Pseudomonadati; Campylobacterota; Epsilonproteobacteria; Campylobacterales; Sulfurovaceae.
GCUGGUGUAGCUCAGUUGGCUAGAGCAGCUGAUUUGUAAUCAGCAGGUCGGGGGUUCGAGUCCCUUCACCAGCU